Molecule: ribosomal RNA, 434 nt
Filed under: uncultured Lachnospiraceae bacterium
Lineage: Bacteria; Bacillati; Bacillota; Clostridia; Lachnospirales; Lachnospiraceae
Description: partial 16S ribosomal RNA
Rfam family: Bacterial small subunit ribosomal RNA
Source: RNAcentral
ACGGAAGGCAGCAGUAGGGAAUAUUGGACAAUGGGGGCAACCCUGAUCCAGCGACGCCGCGUGAGUGAAGAAAUAUUUCGGUAUGUAAAGCUCUAUCAGCAGGGAAGAAAAUGACGGUACCUGACUAAGGAGCACCGGCUAAAUACGUGCCAGCAGCCGCGGUAAUACGUAUGGUGCAAGCGUUAUUCGGAUUUACUGGGUGUAAAGGGAGCGUAGACGGCAUAGCAAGUCUGAAGUGAAAUGCGGGGGCUCAACCCCUGAACUGCUUUGGAAACUGUUAAGCUAGAGUGUCGGAGAGGUAAGUGGAAUUCCUAGUGUAGCGGUGAAAUGCGUAGAUAUUAGGAGGAACACCAGUGGCGAAGGCGGCUUACUGGACGAUAACUGACGUUGAGGCUCGAAAGCGUGGGGAGCAAACAGGAUUAGAUACCCUGGUA